Molecule: long non-coding RNA, 1641 nt
Organism: Bombus pyrosoma
Lineage: Eukaryota; Metazoa; Arthropoda; Insecta; Hymenoptera; Apidae
Exons: 3
Source: RefSeq, a predicted model, not a curated record
CUUCUCGCGGGUAUCGCGUGUCGAGACCACCGUCAAACUCACCCGCAACGAGCAUGCGAACCCAUAUACAUACUCGUGCAGCUGCUGGCGUAUCUUGGAUGCGGCGCGACACUUAUAGAGGCAGGCAAUGCUAAUUCAAACAAAGUUAUCGUUCGGUAGAUAUAUAUUUAAUUCUUUUCUCAUUUACAUACGAGUACGGUGGCGGCUCGCCAGCCUCACAAUGUGCCAUUGUCGAGGACCUCUGUUUGAAUGGACAAGGACCGUCGAGACCGCGUUUCCAGGUGGCGAUAAUUCUCCUAGAUGAAAUUAAGCACAGCCUACACGCCACACGAACGCAACCAGAUUUAUCUGGAUUCAUUUCAGGCGAAAUCAAAACCAACUGGUUAUCGUGAUACCUGCUCGUAAUUAACAGCUUGGAAGUAACGCGAAGAAGAGUAUUAGGUCGUCCGGAAAGUUCCUUUCGUUCUACAAUAUGAGGAGAUAAUAGUUGCACAACAUUUUUGUUCUGUAUUAUUUUAUCGAGUCAUGUACAAUAUAUUUUGUUCUACUGCUACAAUACGUUGUGCAUCUAUUGUUUCCUUUUAAAACGAAAGAAACUCUUGGAACAACCUAAUAAUUUUCAGUAUCCAAUUUUCGAUAUAACGUUGUGUACAGGACGUUUCAUUUAACAUUUCGCUUACUUUCGGCGAGAUAAAAAUUGCAUUAGGACAAUCGUCAAAUUUGAUCGGCUGGGAACAGUGAAAAUUCUGGCUCAUCGCAAUUUUCCCUUUGAGGAAUUCACAAAUCGCAACGUGUUUCGUCGUUCUCUCAGCCAAGAUUUCGCAAUAUCUCACUCUGAUGAUCGGUUCUCAUCACUAACCGAACAAUGGACAAGAAUGAGCUGAGAAUUUUGUACGUAACAGUGCACUUGUAUUCCUAACAGCGACAGUUGGAUUUUGAUACAAUGUCAGGAGAGGGUAAACAAGCACAUUGGUAGAAAUUUGCUCGAUAUUUUUGCUGAGACAAACGCAACUCUGAAGUAAGGACAAAAAUGACCCGAAAUCCGCACUGGGAUCAAGUCAAGCCAAAUAUGUAUGCUGCGUAUAAAUUUUAACUGGGACAUGCUGCAUCUACAUUUUGAAAAUCGCCGAAGAAUAGUCGUCCCGCUGCGCCCAAGUUUACCUUUUUCCAUGGCAGACAAGAGGUCUCUUUUGUCAGUGAAUUGCACUUUGCUUUUUCGUUGGCACGAGCUGUUAAAUGGUUCCGGAUAUCUUCGGAGAAAGCUACUGAAUUUGCGUCGGGUCUUGUUAUACCCGACAAUGGCUACAAUUAUCGUGCCUGUGACGGGGAUUAUGAGCAUAAAGUGGGUUCAGAAAGGGAGAGUGCCAUUUUGUAGCUGAGUACGAGGAAUUUGGGAAGAAUAAGGAUACAGCGUUUACAUUCUUCUUUUUCUUCUUAAAUCUUCUCUUAAAUCUUCACUCGAAGAUAUUUUCAAGUCAGAAUUGAACAAUUUUUAACGUCGAUGGAAAAUUUAUGAAAAUACAGUAUACAUAUAUUUAAUAUGCAAAAUAUACAAAAAAAUAUGAAAGCAGAGUAUGUGAAUAUUUAGAGGAUGAGACAAAUCUUUGUGUAUAGAAAUGCCAUUUUUUAGUUCACAAAAAU